CCUACGGGAGGCAGCAGUGGGGAAUAUUGGGCAAUGGGCGCAAGCCUGACCCAGCAACGCCGCGUGAAGGAAGAAGGCUUUCGGGUUGUAAACUUCUUUUCUCAGGGACGAAGAAAGUGACGGUACCUGAGGAAUAAGCCACGGCUAACUACGUGCCAGCAGCCGCGGUAAUACGUAGGUGGCAAGCGUUAUCCGGAUUUAGUGGGUGUAAGGGGCGCGUAGGCGGGAGGGCAAGUUAGAGGUGAAAACCCAGGGCUCAACCCCGCGCCUGCAUUUGAUACUGUGUUUCUUGAGUGCUGGAGAGGCAAUCGGAAUUUCGGGUGUAGCGGUGAAAUGCGUAGAUAUAC
This 347-nucleotide ribosomal RNA is filed under the name uncultured bacterium. RNAcentral's name for it is "partial 16S ribosomal RNA". It matches the Rfam family "Bacterial small subunit ribosomal RNA", at positions 338 to 699 of the family's 1533-position model. The record is from RNAcentral.